Ictalurus punctatus (channel catfish) is the source of this 2207-nucleotide long non-coding RNA. RefSeq lists it as uncharacterized. The transcript has 3 exons. The record is from RefSeq and is a predicted model, not a curated record. Lineage: Eukaryota; Metazoa; Chordata; Actinopteri; Siluriformes; Ictaluridae.
CAAAGAUAUAAAACUUUUAUGACAGAAAUGUCAAUACCACUAAACAGGACAGAAAAAAAAAGAAAUCAGGGCAGAAAAAAAUCAGAAAAUUUUAUUUUGCCGCAUGUACACAUCAAUAAAUAUCACAAUUUAUAACUUUUCCUCCACUAGAGGAAAAAGAAACUAAGUCUAAUCCUAACUCAUAAUAUUAAGAUUUUCAAACAGAAACCACGAGCGAUUUUUUAAUUUAAAUUAAACAAAGACGAUUUAAAAAAAGAAAAAAGAAGGAAAAAAAAAAGAAUUACUCGAAGACCCGACAGCUAAUGACGUCAGAGAAUAAGCCUGAGCUGGAUUCUGCACAGUGCUCCACAGUUUCUGCGCUCCCCUGCGCCUCCACUCGCUUCUCUGUGUUUACAUACGGAAUCACAUACCCCGGCGAGCUUUUGUGGCGACCUUUCUCACCGCCGCUGGCCGGCCCGAGCACGCCUGGAGCUGCAUUGCCUCCCGGGAACUCCUGCUGAAACGGUGAGAGUGUGCGAAGCGCAGCAGAGGUUAGAGUAGCAGAUCCAGGGGGUACAAGAAAAACCGGUGCGCAUUUACACGCUUCAUCUCAUCACCAAGUCCUCAUUAGGUUGUUAACCUCUUGUUCACAAGAAAAAAAAGCUGCCGCUCCGCUCAAGCCUCUCACCCGAGCUCAGGCAUCCCCCUCGAGGCACAGCACACAGCCAUUAAAACUGCGCAAAAUAAGCCUUUACAAUGGAUAACAGUUAAAGAGCGUGCAAGUUCUCUUUUCCCAUAUUUUAUUCAAAGUUUAAAAAACACAUUCAAGAAAUGAGCAGAUCAUUUGCUCUUCUCAAUGUUUUUUUUUUUUUUUUCAAUUACAUUAUAAUAAUCGGGCCUAUGUGAUGUAAACAGCAUGAUCUAAAAGAUUUACUUUAAACACCUACUGACCAGCUUAAACGCAGCACUGCACAUUUCAGUGCUCUGUACAGUUGUAGAGUCUUGAGUGAUCCUAUGAUGGCAUUUUGAAAGCUUACUAAAUUAGCAGCAAGAAAGCUGCGCGCCCGCGUGCGCGCGUUUCAGGUACCAGCCAAUUAAAACUGUCCAGUCCUCCACAUCUGCCUCCCAUUACAAAGCGAACCGAACAGAAAAGAAGGAGCCCGGUGAAAGAACGCUCAUUGAGAUCACAGAUGGACUAUAGGUUUUUGCUAGAAAUUUGAGAAACACCAUUGUCCUCAAAUCCAAACUCAAUGUGUUCCUGCACAAUGGCUGCGGCUUUGAGCUCUGCCGACUCAAUUGCCCUUGUUUUUUAAACUUGAAGUGUUCAGCACAAAGACUGGCCUCCUAAAUGUCACAACCGCUCCGAGUGGGGCUCCGCUGCGCGAUUCGCUCAAAAAAGGGAAAAGAACACAAUUAUGAAGCAAUAAUUACUCUGCAUCAGUUCGCACGCCACUGCGUCCAUUCAAACCUCUUUAGCCCUAUUUAAUGCUUUAUCCACGCCGCCAUAAUCCGAAUACCACAGCUUGAUUUUUUUCCCCCUUUCCUUCCGUAGAAUUUUCUCCUGAGAUGAGAUUGGGAAAGGGAACUGCGAGAAACUGCAAGAACUAAAGUUUCAACAGCUAUCAUUUCAAAGCAUAUGUUUAGUAGAUUAUAUAAAGACGUCAUCCAAAGGUAAAAACACAACCUGUCAGUGAAAUGAUCCAAAGGGCCGAAUAAUAAUAAGCUAUAAUAAUAAUAAUAACAAACCCGCUUGACGUCACAGUGUAUUAGGUUCACACUAAAAGAUUUGUUAUUCAUUGAUUUCAGUAUUGUUUAUUUUACGUGCAUGUAUUAUGUUAUAGAUUCAUACCGGUUUUUUUGUUUUGUUUUGUUUUUAAAUCUGGUACUUUUUUUUUAAAGGAAUAUCUCAGAAAAUGUUAACACACCGAAAAAGUAUUGUACCCCAUUAUUGAAAUUAUACCUCUUAAUUAAUUAAUAAUGAACCACGUUUUUCUGGUUUCAGGUGGACUCACGAACAAAAUGUGACUUGAGUCGUUUGUAUAAAACACUAACUUUUUUUUAUUUCAUGAGAUGUCGGUCUGGCUAUCUGAUUAACUGAAUCAGGCGUGCUAAAUUAGGCGUUAAGAUAGUAAAUAGAAGAGACUUAAGUGAAUAAAACUGCUAUUAAGUUAGGGCGUUUUUAUAUGAUGAUACACAAGAAAUAAAUAGCCUAUUUAAAAAAAAUUUGU